GACGAACGCUGGCGGCGUGCUUAACACAUGCAAGUCGAACGGAAAGGCCCUGCUUUUGUGGGGUGCUCGAGUGGCGAACGGGUGAGUAACACGUGAGUAACAUGCCCUUGACUUUGGGAUAACUUCAGGAAACUGGGGCUAAUACCGGAUAGGAGCUCCUGCUGCAUGGUGGGGGUUGGAAAGUUUCGGCGGUUGGGGAUGGACUCGCGGCUUAUCAGCUUGUUGGUGGGGUAGGGGCUUACCAAGGCUUUGACGGGUAGCCGGCCUGAGAGGGUGACCGGCCACAUUGGGACUGAGAUACGGCCCAGACUGCUACGGGAGGCAGCGGUGGGGAAUAUUGCACAAUGGGCGGAAGCCUGAUGCAGCAACGCCGCGUGCGGGAUGACGGCCUUCGGGUUGUAAACCGCUUUCGCCUGUGACGAAGCGUGAGUGACGGUAAUGGGUAAAGAAGCACCGGCUAACUACGUG
Molecule: ribosomal RNA, 468 nt
Filed under: uncultured bacterium
Lineage: Bacteria
Description: partial 16S ribosomal RNA
Rfam family: Bacterial small subunit ribosomal RNA
Source: RNAcentral